Mauremys mutica (yellowpond turtle) is the source of this 3288-nucleotide long non-coding RNA. RefSeq lists it as uncharacterized. The transcript is spliced from 4 exons. Lineage: Eukaryota; Metazoa; Chordata; Testudines; Geoemydidae. The record is from RefSeq and is a predicted model, not a curated record.
GGCAGGGAGAAGGACCUGCCCUGGGAGCAUCUAAGGAAGGACAUGGAAGCUGCUCCUCUAAGGAGAAAGGACCUGAUCUGCUAGAAGCCAGACUGACUAAAGACCUUCCAAGUGUCACUGUGUCUAUGGCCGAUCAGCAAGAAUCCUGGGCAGCAAGUUCCCUUCUGCCUGGAGCUCAAUUGGAGUGUGUCUCCAAGCCCCAGUCAGACAACUGCUUCAUGUGAAGUCAACCAGUCCACUGCCAACAAGAUUGUUUGUAUAAAGAUUGGGCUUGAGCUAAGGACCAGCACACCCCACCCCCUGACUCAGACCUGCUUUUGAGCCAAGCUGACUGCAUCGCCAAGCAACAGAGUGAUUAGACAUUGAGUCAGGCCUAUUAACAGCUCACCCAGGAAGAUCCCCAUGCUCCUACAGGAUUUUCCCCAUUUGAGUUUUUGUAUGGGAGACAACCCUGGGAAAUAUUAGAUCUGAGUAAUGAAAUGUGGGAGGGGCAGGAGUCAAAGUCCACCAACUCAAUACAGUAUUUAUUGUGAUUAAGAGAAGCAAAAAUCCCUGGGCGAGUUUGCAAAGGAGAACUUGUUGAACGAGCAACACAACAAGGAGAAGAAUUAUAACAAGGUCACCUGUAUCUGAGCGUUCCAACUGGGGGACCAAGUUCUAUUUCUGCUACCUAUCUCUGAAUCCAAGCUGUUGGCCCAAUGGCAGGGGCCUUUUGAAAUAGUGAAGUUAUGAACUUUACCAGCCUAGGAAGAGGAAAGCAACCCAAAUAUUAUCAUGUCAACUUACUGAAGGUAUGGAAAGAAUGGGAGGGACUCAUCAUCAUUCCAUUCCCUCUUGAGUCUGAAUGUGGCCCCUGUGCCAUGAUGGUUCCUCGGUUGGGGGACCAUAUCAGUUGGGGAAGGCUUAUGACCUGAGCAGGAAGAGCAGAUAUGCAAACUCAUCAGCACAUUCAUCUCUGCAUUUUUGGCAACAACCGGGCUGCAUGUACCCAGUGUUCCACUGUAUAGAGACUGAACGCAGCCAGAAAGUGAGAGAGAGCAUGCAACCAUUAACCAGAAAAAAUGUGGGAGACUGUGACAAGAGCUACAGAACAUGUUGGUCACAGAGGUCAUCGAGGACUCACACAGUAGGUGGCAAACUCUGAUAGUGCUCGUGCUCAAACAGGAUGGCUCAACAUGGUUCUGCAUUGACUUUUGAAAAAUGAAUACAAUAGCCAAAUUCAACCCUACAGGUCGAUGAAUUGCUGGAGAGUCUGGAGGCUGCCCAGGCACAUAUCCACUCUUGACCUAACCUGAGGGGAACUGGCAGAUCCCCCUUGCUCUUGAAUCCAGGGAAAAGAUGAUGACCUUCUCUAGCCCCUGGGCUUAUUCAAGUUUAGAAUCACGCCCUGCAGUCUGCAUGGGUCGUGGCUACAUUCAAGAGGUUAAUGGAUAAAGUACUGUGCCAACAUAGUAUGCGGCUGCUUAUGUUGAUGAUACCAUCAUUUACAGCGGGACAUGGGUCAACCACAUAAAACACCUCACAGCAGUUCUACAAGCAUUCUGCAAGGCUUGCCUGAUGGCUAACCCAGAUAAAUGUCAAUUAGCCAACUGGGAAGUGAACUACCUGGGAUACACAGUGGGUGGAGCAUGGCUACGUGUAUUAUUAGGGAAGGCAAAAGGCCUUGUUAAAAUACCUGAAGCCCUCUAUGAAGAAACAAAUAUGAUGCUUCUGGGACAAGUGGGGCACGAUAGGUGGUUCAUACCCAAUUUUGCCACCAUAGCCACACCCUGAACAGACUUAGUAAAAGAUGUUUCACUCAGGCAGAUCUGGUUGAUCAAGGCCUGUGCCAAGACCUUCCAGGGAUUUAAAAAAAAAAAGCUGGUGAAGAAGGAACCUGUUUUAUUUCACCCCAACCUUUCAGGACCUUUCACUUUACAAUGGACACUGGAUGUCAGCCUUGGAGCUGUACUAUUGCAAGAAAUAGGGGGAGAGGAACGUCCCAUCCUAUAUCUCGGCAAGACGCUGUUGUCCUAAGAAGAUGCCUAUUCAGUGACAGAGAAUAGGGCUCCUGUGGUAAAGUGGGCUUACAUUGUUCCCAGUGGGGCCAACCAUUCCAGCUAGUGACAGAUCACAUGCCCCUCCAAUGGCUACAAUCCAUGAAGGACCAUAACCCCUGAGUCAUCUGGUGGAAUUGGUCCCUGCAGCCAUACCACUUUGAAGUACUGCAUCAAGCCAAUAAAGACCAUAAAAAUGUGGACUUGUUUUCAUGAGACCGGUGUGGGGGGACAGUCAACCCAAAUAGACCCGGCAACUUGGAAACUGAGAGGGAGGGUGUGAGAUGGGGUCUAGAGGCCCCAUGCUGAACCAGGGCUGGGAAAGAGCUAUACUGGGCUAAGGAAGCCCCACCUUUCAACAGGUGUAGGGCAUGCUCCUAGUGGAGGAACAGUUUAAAAGAACACAGGGAGCCCCGGAAAAGGGGAGUGAGAAUGAGCUGCAUAUGGCACUGGGAAGCAAGGUUGAUGCUGAGAGCUGUGCCAGGAGCGGCAACAGCUUUGUAAAGGCUGCUCUGGCAGCAGAGACGUGAUAGCAUUGGUAGCUGAAAACCUGAAAUGAGAUGGAUUCAACAGGACACUAAAAGUAUGUUUCCUUCCCCUUCCCUACCAAACACAUAUGUCUACACUGGGAUAAAAGACCCGUGUCAUGGCCGCAGCUGGUCUGGGUCAGAUGACUUGGGUUUGUGGGGCUAAAAAGUUGCUGUUUUGAUGUUCAGGCUUGGGCUUACCGUAAGAGACCCAGGAGAAUUUACUAAACCAGUGACCACACCCUAAACUGAGGCAUUCCUGACUGCUAGGAAGUGUCCCGGGGGAAAACAUAAUUUGGGGUAGUUCAAUAACUGGGUUGGAUGGGUGGAAUGCGUGGGCCUGGGUCACACUGCCCCGCCUCCACCUGGUAGUGACCGAACCUCUGGGGGAGCAAUCAGAGUGCACUGCGUUGAUUCAGGGGCCCUUUCUGAGAUGUCUAGCCUGGCAGAAACUGUAAGUCCAUGACUGACCACUAGGCCAGUUGGUCAUUGGACCUUCUGACCAAAACAUCCAAUCUUGAUUUUAAAAUGUUCACUAAUGGAGAAUCCACCACAACUCUUGGAUAGUUGUUCCAAUAGUUAAUUACCUUCACUUUUUACAACUUGCCCCACAUUUUCAGUCUGAAUUGUCUUGCUUCAAAUUCUAGCCAUUGGAUAUGUUAUACAUUUGUCUGCUAGACUGAAGAGCAAAUUAUCAAAUUUCUGUUCCCUAUGUAGGUAUUUAU